Molecule: non-coding RNA, 599 nt
Organism: Acomys russatus (golden spiny mouse)
Lineage: Eukaryota; Metazoa; Chordata; Mammalia; Rodentia; Muridae
Source: the annotation of a RefSeq genome assembly
GGUACCUGGCAGUGUCUUCUGUAUCUCUUCCUUGGUUUCUACCCUCGUCUCAGCUCAGACUCCACAAAGGAACUGGACUCUGGGCCUGUGCUUACAGAGAGAAUAUGAAACAAGUGGCGAAAGUGACUGUGCUCCUGAUCUUGGCUACGUCAAGCCUUGCUAAGACCACUCAGCCCCUCUCCAUGGACUCCUACGAAGGGCAAGAAGUGAAUGUGUCCUGUAGCCACACAGACAUCGCUACAAACGAGUACAUCUACUGGUACCGGCAGCUCCCCUUUCAAGGACCACACCUCAUUAUUCAAGGAUAUAAGGUCCAUGUGGCAAAUGAAGUGGCAUCUCUGUUUAUCUCUGCUGACAGGAAGUUCAGCCCUCUGAGCCUGCCCAUGGUUUCCCUGAGAGACAGUGCUAUGUACUACUGCAUCGUGGCUGACACACAGUGAGACAGAUGGAUUUGCACCUGUGCAGUAACCUGUAGCGAGAUCGAAGUCACAGUCUAGACAGAAGCACAGACCCAGUGAUUUCCAAAAUCCUAUGGUAUUUUUAUUUUCAUGCAUUCAUGUAAACAUGCAUUCUUAUGUUACCUAAUUUUUCCUGUCAUU